Molecule: ribosomal RNA, 466 nt
Filed under: uncultured bacterium
Lineage: Bacteria
Description: partial 16S ribosomal RNA
Rfam family: Bacterial small subunit ribosomal RNA
Source: RNAcentral
CUACGGGUCGCACCAGUGGGGAAUAUUGCGCAAUGGGCGAAAGCCUGACGCAGCAACGCCGUGUGAGGGAUGAAGGCUUUCGGGUCGUAAACCUCUGUCAGAAGGGAAGAACGGGUAUUGGUCUAAUAGGCCUUUAUUUUGACGGUACCUUCAGAGGAAGAACCGGCUAACUCCGUGCCAGCAGCCGCGGUAAUAGCGGAGGGUGCAAGCGUUAUUCGGAAUUACUGGGCGUAAAGCGCACGUAGGCCGCUUUGUAAGUCAGGGGUGAAAUCCCACGGCUCAACCGUGGAACUGCCUUUGAAACUGCAGAGCUUGAAUCCUGGAGAGGGUGGCGGAAUUCCUGGUGUAGGAGUGAAAUCCGUAGAUAUCAGGAGGAACACCGGUGGCGAAGGCGGCCACCUGGACAGGUAUUGACGCUGAGGUGCGAAAGUGUGGGGAGCAAACAGGAUUAGAUACCCCCGUAGUC